RNAcentral lists this ribosomal RNA (110 nucleotides) under uncultured bacterium. RNAcentral describes it as "partial 16S ribosomal RNA". It matches the Rfam family "Bacterial small subunit ribosomal RNA", at positions 1373 to 1482 of the family's 1533-position model. The record is from RNAcentral.
CCCGGGUCUUGUACACACCGCCCGUCACACCAUGGGAGUUGAUUGCACCAGAAGUAGGUAGCCUAACCGUAAGGGGGGCGUUUACCACGGUGUGGUCAAUGACUGGGGUG